This 244-nucleotide unclassified non-coding RNA is filed under the name Hevea brasiliensis (rubber tree). The record is from RNAcentral. Lineage: Eukaryota; Viridiplantae; Streptophyta; Magnoliopsida; Malpighiales; Euphorbiaceae.
GAACCUGUUUUCAAGGGAACCUUUUGAACGAUUCUCUGUACUUUAUGUUUUGCUCCUGCUUGAUCUUUAGCAUCUACAACACGAACAACCUGCUCCACAAAAUUACCAAGUAUAGAUUGAGCACUCAAAAACCUCUGUAUAAAAGUAUUUAUAGUCUCCGACUGAAAUGUACUCGUCAUUCCACCAAAAAAGAAAGAUCUCAAAAAGGGCAGUGCCCAGUAUGAACGUAAAGCAUAUAAACUGG